AACGGUCUAUACCUGCGGUACCUGCGGAAGGAUCAUUAUCGAAUGCAAUAUGGGGAUGUUGCUGGCCAAAAUCUCAAUGGCAAUGUGCACUCCUCUAUUCAAACAUCCAACCUGUGCACACCGAGUAGGCCCAUAGAUUUGGUUCUAUGGUCCUAUGUUUCCAUAUACACAAGUGAAAGAUUGUACUAUGAUUGUAAAAAAAGUUUUUACAACUUUCAGCAACGGAUCUCUAGAUCGGAA
RNAcentral lists this unclassified non-coding RNA (240 nucleotides) under soil metagenome. RNAcentral's name for it is "partial contains 5.8S ribosomal RNA, internal transcribed spacer 2, and large subunit ribosomal RNA". The record is from RNAcentral.